Molecule: ribosomal RNA, 348 nt
Filed under: uncultured bacterium
Lineage: Bacteria
Description: bacterial SSU rRNA
Rfam family: Bacterial small subunit ribosomal RNA
Source: RNAcentral
GCUUUCGGGUUGUAAACUUCUUUUCUCAGGGACGAAGAAAAUGACGGUACCUGACUAAGCAGCCCCGGCUAACUACGUGCCAGCAGCCGCGGUAAUACGUAGGGGGCAAGCGUUAUCCGGAUUUACUGGGUGUAAAGGGAGCGUAGACGGAAUUGCAAGUCUGAUGUGAAAAUCCGGGGCCCAACCCCGGAACUGCAUUGGAAACUGUAUUUCUAGAGUGUCGGAGAGGCAAGUGGAAUUCCUGGUGUAGCGGUGAAAUGCGUAGAUAUCAGGAGGAACACCAGUGGCGAAGGCGGCUUGCUGGACGAUGACUGACGUUGAGGCUCGAAAGCGUGGGGAGCAAACAGG